Molecule: ribosomal RNA, 414 nt
Filed under: uncultured bacterium
Lineage: Bacteria
Description: bacterial SSU rRNA
Rfam family: Bacterial small subunit ribosomal RNA
Source: RNAcentral
GUGUCAGCCGCCGCGGUAAUACGUAGGUGGCAAGCGUUGUCCGGAUUUAUUGGGCGUAAAGGGAGCGCAGGCGGUCUUUUAAGUCUGAAUGUGAAAGCCCUCAGCUUAACUGAGGAAGAGCAUCGGAAACUGAAAGACUUGAGUGCAGAAGAGGAGAGUGGAACUCCAUGUGUAGCGGUGAAAUGCGUAGAUAUAUGGAAGAGCACCAGUGGCGAAGGCGGCUCUCUGGUCUGUUACUGACGCUGAGGCUCGAAAGCAUGGGUAGCGAACAGGAUUAGAUACCCUGGUAGUCCAUGCCGUAAACGAUGAGUGCUAAGUGUUGGGAGGUUUCCGCCUCUCAGUGCUGCAGCUAACGCAUUAAGCACUCCGCCUGGGGAGUACGACCGCAAGGUUGAAACUUAAAUAAAUUGACGG